AUGAACGGUCGUGUUUGCGGAGAAAAGUAAAUUUAAACAACCUAAAGAAACACUCGUAGAGAGUUUGCCCCAUUAGCUUCGUGUAGACGUGCUAAGUUAUAAAUUAAACAAAAAUCGUCUGAUUUGCUACAGUCCAAUUAAAGUCUUCCUAAUAAAUUUGUGCGAGUGAAUUAAAAAGUUGUACGUGACUCCGUUUUUCCCUCUCGCACUUUAUGUGCGUUUGUAUGUGUGACUCUGCGUAACUGUGCCUGUGUGCGUGUAUGAGUGCCUGUGGGUGCAUUUGUUUAUUCCUACCGCUAAAUACGGUUUCUUACUAGAACUUGCCACGCGCUGCGUUGCUGGGCGGUGCUGUCAUUACCCCACCCACCCCUCAUUAGCACAUUGUGCAAAAAAAAAAAAAACAGAAAGAAAAUCGAAACUCCCGCACUUUAACUGGAUAAUGAGUAGUCGGAACAACGUCAAAACGAAAACAAAAACAACGGUACACAAAGGAAACUGAAUUAAAGCAUAGCAAGAGAAUGCGAUUAAUGCUUGACACGAAUAUUUAUUCAAAAUAGAUCAAAAACUUGUAUAUAUGUAUGAGUGUGUGUAUGUUUUUGUACUUUUACAUAACGAACGCGUCGCAUAACAUUGAAGCUAACUGUUUACCAAAUUGUUGAGCAAUUUGUAUACGAACAAUAAAUGAAAUAAAAGAAAUCACGACGAGCUAAAUCCAAUUUGAGCUUAAACUUAACUGUAAACAUUUUGUGCACUUUGUUUGGACGUUUUGCGCCCACUGUUCCGAGCUGUAAACAUAUUCAAGAGUAAAAUAUAUAAAAGUGCUUUAAAUUGGUUUAUAAAAAGACUGGAUGUUUAAAAAUAAGAAAAGAAAUCGCUGUAACUCGACCUAAAAUGUAAACUGUUUAAGUUUACAAAUGGUACAAUAACAAUAAAAUCAACAACAACAACUACUACAAUGGUUGUAAUUUAGCUAAUAAGCAAUUCACGGACUCGACAAACGAAUUGAACUUGAUUUGAAAACAGCAUUGUCUGUGGCAUCAGCUGCUAAUCGACUACAACAACAAACAUAAAUCAUCAUCAACGGACAACAAACACCCUACAACAGCAGCUGGAAUAGUGUGAGCUGGUAGCUAUUGUGAUUGAGCUGCAAACAAGCGAACGCAUUAAUCAUACGCCGUGUGCGCCAUUUUUGAAGCAGCCCAGUGAGAAGUGUCCUAAAACGAAAUAUGUUUGCGAAAAAGCCGCACAAUGCGCCGCGCACUUGACACGCGUUGAGUUACCGUUAGCCGAGUACAACAGUACAAUACAGUUACGCGUUGUCCAAUUCUCAAUCGAUCGAAUUGCUCCAACUUUAUCUCAAUAAUUUAUUUUGAUUUUCUUUCCGUUCGUUUCGUUCGCUUUGUUUUCUUCAUUCGAUUGAUUUGUGCAUUCGAAGUGCCGCAUGUACGUGUCCGGGCUAAAAACGUUUACGGGCAGCUACAACUGCAACAACAACAGCAACAACAACAAUAUCAAUUAUAAACAGAGAGGCAGCCAAUUUGAUUUGCGGCCAAAAUUUGCUCAAUUAGUGUUUUCCUGUUGGUCAGUGUUAAAAACGUUAACGUUCUUGAUGAAUGUGUUUCGGUUAAAGCCGCUUUAUCGUGCCACUAAAAAGACAACAACAACAACAGCAACACCAAUAUUAACAUCAGCAGUCGUAACACCAACAACAACAACAACAGCCCAAACUAAAAAGCCAAAGAGCAGCAGCAACAAAAACUCUGCCUCCUCCUCCUCCUCCGCUUCUUCAACAACUAGAACAACUUUUGAUAAUAGCAACAACAACAAUCCGCGCACAUACAACAACAGCAGCAAAUCGAAUAAAGUGUUUCUACAUUAUAUACCACGCGAUCCGCGUCUAAGAAUUUUCAAUAGAACCGCCACGCUGUAUAAACACUUGGCCCAACCCAAACGCACUUUAAGUGAAUUGAAUAUAACUGAAGAUCUGUGUAAUUAUGGUGAAUUAAUUGGCGGCCCUGGUAGUGCAAGUGACAACAACAACAACUAUAACAAUUACAAUCAGCAACAAUAUUAUUAUAGCAACAACAAUAAUCAACAGUUGAAAUUUCAAGGCUAACUAUUCAAGUUUCCAAACAAUAAAUAAAUAAAUAAAACAAAAAGAAAGCGAAAGGAAAAGAAAUUUUCGAGUGCACAGAAAAUUUUUCGAUUCAUUCUUGGAAAAACUUGAGACGCGCCGAGUUUGCUUAGGCAAACAUACAGUGUGAGGAGUUGAAGAGAGUUGAUAUUUUGGAAUUGGGGAUUCAGGCGAAGCGUAAGCAAUACAAAUCCAAAUCCAAAACCACCUACAGCUACAGCUACUUAAUAAAUAAUAUAGAAAUUCUUGCUGAAAUCUAUGUAACGGUGUUCACAAUUAAUUGCAACAACAAGUGCAAAUUUUUACGAGCUGCUUUUAAACAACCAAAUUAUAGUAAAUAUAAUAAAACGAAAUAUUGCAAGUGAGAGGUUAUUCAAUUAGAGCCCAAGACAAGAUGGCCAAGCCAUCAGCAACACGGAGUGACAGCAGCAACAACUGCAAGAAUCAACGCAGUGGCAACGGCAG
RNAcentral lists this small RNA (2599 nucleotides) under Drosophila mojavensis. RNAcentral describes it as "GI26258". The record is from RNAcentral. Lineage: Eukaryota; Metazoa; Arthropoda; Insecta; Diptera; Drosophilidae.